UACGUAGGGGGCGAGCGUUGUCCGGAAUUAUUGGGCGUAAAGGGCGCGCAGGCGGUCUCUUAAGUCUGAUGUGAAAGCCCACGGCUCAACCGUGGAGGGUCAUUGGAAACUGGGGGACUUGAGUCUAGGAGAGGGAAGUGGAAUUCCACGUGUAGCGGUGAAAUGCGUAGAGAUGUGGAGGAACACCAGUGGCGAAGGCGACUUCCUGGCCUAGGACUGACGCUGAGGCGCGAAAGCGUGGGGAGCGAACAGG
Molecule: unclassified non-coding RNA, 253 nt
Filed under: uncultured Caryophanales bacterium
Lineage: Bacteria; Bacillati; Bacillota; Bacilli; Caryophanales
Description: uncultured Bacillales bacterium contains 16S-23S intergenic spacer region
Rfam family: Bacterial small subunit ribosomal RNA
Source: RNAcentral